CGAUUUUUUCGGGGGCGGUAGAGCGUUGGCCCCCAGUGUGGGGGUGAUUCUUCAUCUGCUCUUUAUGCUCUUUCAGAUGUCAGAGUGUCGCCAAAAUCCCAGACACAUGAGGUGCGAUGUUCCCUUGUUAGUACUGCCAAUGGUAUAUAGGCAGUACUAAAAGAAACAUAAGAAAGAGAAUCAAUGAACAUAGGGCUGAUAUUUCUAAAAGAAAAACAGACACUGCCCUGGCUAUGAAAGCUUAUGAAUAGGAUAUAGAGAUAAUCAAGUCAAGGUACCAGGCACAAGGUAAUCAAGCCUCUCCAGAUAAUAUCGGCAUUACCACUACAGAAGCUAUUGAGAUUGAAAAGAGAAGACCCUUCUAUAACAUUAUAAAUGAUAAUCAGCCGACAGAUCUACCCAAUUCUUGGAAGUGGUGCACGAGAAAGAACAUAUAAAUAAAACUUUAUUUAUGUUACAUAGACAUGAUAUGUAUAAUAGAAGUUACUGCAUGAUAGACCAAGAACCUGGUGACAUAUUUUUUAUACUUAUGUGUAUUCACCGAUUUUUGAAAAAUAUUAUGGAGGUAUUCUCCCUUUUAUAUAGCAUCAUCAUAUAUGACUUUGUUGUUUGGGUUUAUGCGGUACUCAUUAACUGUAUUUGUGUACUGUAUCGUUACCUGU
This 662-nucleotide long non-coding RNA is filed under the name Androctonus crassicauda. The record is from RNAcentral. Lineage: Eukaryota; Metazoa; Arthropoda; Arachnida; Scorpiones; Buthidae.